Tupaia belangeri chinensis (Chinese tree shrew) is the source of this 247-nucleotide long non-coding RNA. RefSeq lists it as uncharacterized. The record is from RefSeq and is a predicted model, not a curated record. NCBI's taxonomy places the organism in Eukaryota, Metazoa, Chordata, Mammalia, Scandentia, Tupaiidae. The transcript is spliced from 3 exons.
CUUCUGCCUCCUGACCAAAGGCGGUGCCCCACAUGGCUCUGCAUGGCGUGGCGUGCUCCUCCUCUCAGGAACUGCAGGCACGGCCUUGGCUCUCCCACAAGGGCCCGUGACAAGACGGCAGAAGGAUGGAGAGCGGCAGCUUCUCCCUGCGGACCCUCUUCCUUCUUCACCAGAGCAGCGCGAGGCUGUUACGCGGACACGUCCUUACAUUUCUGAUCAUUUAGAUUGUGAAGACACUUUACCCAGC